This 234-nucleotide ribosomal RNA is filed under the name uncultured Candidatus Saccharibacteria bacterium. Its description in RNAcentral is "partial 16S ribosomal RNA". It matches the Rfam family "Bacterial small subunit ribosomal RNA", at positions 585 to 818 of the family's 1533-position model. Lineage: Bacteria; Candidatus Saccharimonadota. The record is from RNAcentral.
AAGCGAAUAGUGAAAUCUGGUGGCUCAACCAUCAACACAUUGUUCGAACUGCUGGUCUCGAGAAUGGUAGAGGUAGCUGGAAUUUCUUGUGUAGGAGUGAAAUCCGUAGAUAUAAGAAGGAACACCAAUGGCGUAGGCAGGCUACUGGACCAUUUCUGACGCUGAGGCACGAAAGCGUGGGGAGCAAACGGGAUUAGAUACCCCGGUAGUCCACGCCGUAAACUAUGGAUGCUA